RNAcentral lists this ribosomal RNA (279 nucleotides) under uncultured bacterium. RNAcentral's name for it is "partial 16S ribosomal RNA". It matches the Rfam family "Bacterial small subunit ribosomal RNA", at positions 506 to 784 of the family's 1533-position model. The record is from RNAcentral.
UGCCAGCCGCCGCGGUAAUACGAAGGGGGCUAGCGUUGUUCGGAAUUACUGGGCGUAAAGAGCGUGUAGGCGGUUAUGUAAGUUAGAGGUGAAAUCCCAGAGCUCAACUCUGGAAUUGCCUUUGAUACUGCGUAACUUGAGAUCGUGAGGGGAUAGUGGAAUACCUAGUGUAGAGGUGAAAUUCGUAGAUAUUAGGUAGAACACCAGUGGCGAAGGCGACUAUCUGGCACGAUACUGACGCUGAGACGCGAAAGCGUGGGGAGCAAACAGGAUUAGAUA